RNAcentral lists this signal recognition particle RNA (98 nucleotides) under Deltaproteobacteria bacterium. RNAcentral describes it as "signal recognition particle sRNA small type". It matches the Rfam family "Bacterial small signal recognition particle RNA". Rfam says of the family: The signal recognition particle (SRP) is a universally conserved ribonucleoprotein involved in the co-translational targeting of proteins to membranes. Archaeal SRP consists of a 7S RNA and homologues of the eukaryotic SRP19 and SRP54 proteins. The record is from RNAcentral. Lineage: Bacteria; Pseudomonadati; Myxococcota; Myxococcia. RNAcentral also lists the same sequence under 2 other names.
AGCUGGGUCCUGUGCGACGAGGGGUUACCAACCCCGUCAGGUCCGGAAGGAAGCAGCGGCCGUAAUUCCCUCGUGUGCUGCAGGGGUGCCUAGCUAUC